Molecule: long non-coding RNA, 459 nt
Filed under: Homo sapiens (human)
Lineage: Eukaryota; Metazoa; Chordata; Mammalia; Primates; Hominidae
Description: HSALNT0297518
Source: RNAcentral
AGUCUCCCUCUUCCACACUCAGGGACCGCCACCAUCACAGGCACUCGGUAGAUGUCUGCUGAAUGAGGAUAACUUCUACCCAACACCGUGAAGCCUGGCCCAGGGUCUGGCAUACAGAUGCCGUGUUUGUAAGUCCUGGUUGCUCAUCUCGCCCACUUGCACAGCCCACCUGUGUGGCCGACUCAGGAUUGACCCACCUGCUCUCUUCAGGCCAUAUUCCCACGCAGAAGUGGGUCCCACUCCUCAGGCCUCUGUGCUGGCCCCGUCUGUGGGGUUAGCAAGCAGCCCUGCUCUCCAUUUCCAGCUCAGAAGCAACUGGAUCGUUACCUCAUUGGUGACAACUUGACUGUGCUGCCCAGAGCUGAUAAGAAACAUCACCCGGGGAAGACCAGCUGCCUCUUCCUUGCUUCCUAAUCAGGGUGGAAAUACUGCUAAAUAUAUCACAACUCUUUGCAAGCA